Molecule: transfer RNA, 74 nt
Filed under: Candidatus Altarchaeales archaeon
Lineage: Archaea; Nanobdellati; Candidatus Altarchaeota; Candidatus Altarchaeia; Candidatus Altarchaeales
Also listed under: 1 other name
Description: tRNA-Cys
Rfam family: tRNA
About the family: Transfer RNA (tRNA) molecules are approximately 80 nucleotides in length. Their secondary structure includes four short double-helical elements and three loops (D, anti-codon, and T loops).
Source: RNAcentral
GCAGGGGUGGUCUAGCCCGGUAAGGCAGUCGGCUGCAAACCGACGUAUCGAGGGUUCAAAUCCCUCCCCCUGCU